UACGAAGGGUGCAAGCGUUACUCGGAAUUACUGGGCGUAAAGCGUGCGUAGGUGGUUGUUUAAGUCUGUUGUGAAAGCCCUGGGCUCAACCUGGGAAUUGCAGUGGAUACUGGGCAACUAGAGUGUGGUAGAGGGUAGCGGAAUUCCUGGUGUAGCAGUGAAAUGCGUAGAGAUCAGGAGGAACAUCCGUGGCGAAGGCGGCUACCUGGACCAACACUGACCCUGAGGCACGAAAGCGUGGGGAGCAAACAGG
Molecule: ribosomal RNA, 253 nt
Filed under: uncultured bacterium
Lineage: Bacteria
Description: partial 16S ribosomal RNA
Rfam family: Bacterial small subunit ribosomal RNA
Source: RNAcentral